Molecule: non-coding RNA, 82 nt
Organism: Pelobates cultripes (western spadefoot toad)
Lineage: Eukaryota; Metazoa; Chordata; Amphibia; Anura; Pelobatidae
Source: the annotation of a GenBank genome assembly
GUAUUUUCCAAAGUACUGAACGGAUCUGGGUGAAUUUUGGAUAUGUGGUUCACCCAGAUCCAUUCAGUACUUUGGAAAAUAC